GACGAACGCUGGCGGCGUGCCUAACACAUGCAAGUCGAGCGGAGUCAGUAAGAGGAAGUUUUCGGAUGGAAUCUUAUUGAUUUAGCGGCGGACGGGUGAGUAACGCGUGAGCGACCAACCUUGCACAGGGGGAUAACGGACCGAAAGGUUCACUAAUACCGCAUGAGACCACGGUGUUGCAUGACACAGGGGUCAAAGGAGCAAUCCGGUGCAAGACGGGCUCGCGUCCGAUUAGGUAGUUGGAGGGGUAACGGCCCACCAAGCCUAUGAUCGGUAGCCGACCUGAGAGGGUGGUCGGCCACAUGGAAACUGAGAUACGGUCCAAACUCCUACGGGAGGCAGCAGUGGGGAGUAUUGGGCAAUGGGGGAAACCCUGACCCAGCAACGCCGCGUGAAGGAAGAAGGUUUUCGGAUUGUAAACUUCUGUCCUUGGUGAAGAGAAGAAGACGGUAGCCAAGGAGGAAGCCCCGGCUAACUACGUGCCAGCCGCCGCCGUAA
This 498-nucleotide ribosomal RNA is filed under the name uncultured bacterium. RNAcentral's name for it is "partial 16S ribosomal RNA". It matches the Rfam family "Bacterial small subunit ribosomal RNA", at positions 28 to 523 of the family's 1533-position model. The record is from RNAcentral.